RNAcentral lists this ribosomal RNA (1335 nucleotides) under Triticum aestivum (bread wheat). RNAcentral describes it as "partial small subunit ribosomal RNA". The record is from RNAcentral. Lineage: Eukaryota; Viridiplantae; Streptophyta; Magnoliopsida; Poales; Poaceae.
AUGGCCGCCCAUGCAGCUCUCGCCGCCACCCGCAUCCCCACCAGCGCCCGUCUGCACAGCAAGGCCGCCUCCAGGCAGAGGGUCGACUUCGCCGACUUCUCCGGGCUGAGGCCGGGGUCGUGCUCCGUCAGCGCCGCCGCCAGGGAGGCGUCCUUCUCCGAUGUCCUCGGCGCGCAGCUCGUCGCCAGGGCUUCCGGCGAGAACACCGUGAGAGCGCCGGCGGAGGCGAAGCUGAAGGUGGCCAUCAACGGGUUCGGCCGCAUCGGGCGCAACUUCCUCCGGUGCUGGCACGGCCGCGAGAACUCGCCGCUGGAGGUCAUCGUCAUCAACGACAGCGGAGGCGUCAGGAACGCGUCUCACCUGCUCAAGUACGACUCGAUGCUGGGCACCUUCAAGGCGGACGUGAAGAUCGUGGACAACGAGACCAUCAGCGUCGACGGCAAGAACAUCCAGGUCGUCUCCAACAGGGACCCCCUCAAGCUGCCAUGGGCCGAGCUCGGCAUCGACAUCGUCAUCGAGGGUACCGGAGUGUUCGUGGACGGCCCCGGCGCCGGGAAGCAUCUCCAGGCCGGCGCCAAGAAGGUCAUCAUCACCGCUCCGGCCAAGGGCGCCGACAUCCCCACCUACGUCGUCGGCGUCAACGAGGGCGACUACGACCAUGACGUCGCCAACAUCAUCAGCAACGCUUCUUGCACCACCAACUGCCUCGCGCCAUUCGCCAAGGUCCUGGACGAGGAGUUCGGGAUCGUGAAGGGGACCAUGACAACCACGCACUCGUACACGGGCGACCAGAGGCUGCUGGACGCGUCCCACCGCGACCUGCGGAGGGCGAGGGCAGCGGCGCUGAACAUCGUGCCGACGAGCACGGGCGCCGCCAAGGCCGUCUCCCUGGUGCUGCCGCAGCUCAAGGGCAAGCUCAACGGCAUCGCGCUCCGCGUGCCCACGCCCAACGUCUCCGUGGUGGACCUCGUCAUCAACACCGUCAAGACCGGCAUCACCGCCGACGACGUGAACGCGGCGUUCCGCAAGGCCGCCGACGGGCCGCUCAAGGGCAUCCUCGACGUCUGCGACGAGCCGCUCGUGUCCGUCGACUUCCGCUGCUCCGACGUCUCCACCAGCAUCGACGCCUCCCUCACCAUGGUCAUGGGCGACGACAUGGUCAAGGUCGUCGCCUGGUACGACAACGAGUGGGGCUACAGCCAGCGCGUGGUUGAUCUGGCGCACCUGGUGGCGGCCAAGUGGCCGGGCGCCGGGACCGGCGGCAGCGGCGACCCGCUGGAGGACUACUGCAAGACCGACCCCAACGCCGUGGAGUGCAAGGUGUUCGACGAGUGA